Small nucleolar RNA from Malania oleifera, 117 nucleotides. The record is from RefSeq and is a predicted model, not a curated record. NCBI's taxonomy places the organism in Eukaryota, Viridiplantae, Streptophyta, Magnoliopsida, Santalales, Ximeniaceae.
GUUCCAAAUAAACUCAUUUGUGUUUAUUUGAUUCAUGUGAGGCCAACAUUAAUGAUGGGAGUCCACUGAUGGCACCGAAUUACAUGGGGUGCACUGUUGGUACUUUGCCAUACAUCA